GGGAGUUUGGCCGAGUGGUUAAGGCGGCACGUUUAGGAUCCCCAAUAUCUCUUGGGCUUCUGACCCGUGCUGGGAAACCGCGCAGGUUCGAAUCCUGCAGCUCUCA
RNAcentral lists this transfer RNA (106 nucleotides) under Hypoxylon sp. CO27-5. It matches the Rfam family "tRNA". From Rfam's summary of the family: Transfer RNA (tRNA) molecules are approximately 80 nucleotides in length. Their secondary structure includes four short double-helical elements and three loops (D, anti-codon, and T loops). The record is from Rfam by way of RNAcentral. Lineage: Eukaryota; Fungi; Ascomycota; Sordariomycetes; Xylariales; Hypoxylaceae.